UUAUAGAAAGAAAAGUUCAUGUACUAUUAAUAAGCAAACAAAAGCUGAUGAUGAUAUUUCAAUGCAAGUAUGUGAACCGUAUGGAAUCCACAAGACUAAACUAAGUGAAGAGAAUGAAGGAGUCUAUGAUGAAUGUCAAACAUCACCUGAAGAUGUUUAUGAACGUAUGCCGCAAUGAAAGGUAUUAGAGCAACUUAAUAUAGAGCAACUGUUGAAACUUUUUCACUAGUUUUAAUGUAGCAAUUGUUUUUACAUAGUUUGUGUGAAAAAGAGAA
Amphimedon queenslandica is the source of this 275-nucleotide long non-coding RNA. RefSeq lists it as uncharacterized. The record is from RefSeq and is a predicted model, not a curated record. The transcript is spliced from 2 exons. Lineage: Eukaryota; Metazoa; Porifera; Demospongiae; Haplosclerida; Niphatidae.